AACGAACGCUGGCGGCAGGCCUAACACAUGCAAGUCGAGCGCGCCCUUCGGGGUGAGCGGCGGACCGGUGAGUAACGCGUGGGAACGUGCCCUUUUCUACGGAAUAGCCUCGGGAAACUGAGAGUAAUACCGUAUACGCCCUUUGGGGGAAAGAUUUAUCGGAAAAGGAUCGGCCCGCGUUGGAUUAGGUAGUUGGUGGGGUAAUGGCCUACCAAGCCGACGAUCCAUAGCUGGUUUGAGAGGAUGAUCAGCCACACUGGGACUGAGACACGGCCCAGACUCCUACGGGAGGCAGCAGUGGGGAAUCUUAGACAAUGGGGGCAACCCUGAUCUAGCCAUGCCGCGUGAGUGAUGAAGGCCUUAGGGUUGUAAAGCUCUUUCAGCUGGGAAGAUAAUGACGGUACCAGCAGAAGAAGCCCCGGCUAACUCCGUG
This 433-nucleotide ribosomal RNA is filed under the name uncultured bacterium. RNAcentral's name for it is "partial 16S ribosomal RNA". It matches the Rfam family "Bacterial small subunit ribosomal RNA", at positions 29 to 507 of the family's 1533-position model. The record is from RNAcentral.